RNAcentral lists this ribosomal RNA (253 nucleotides) under uncultured bacterium. Its description in RNAcentral is "partial 16S ribosomal RNA". It matches the Rfam family "Bacterial small subunit ribosomal RNA", at positions 524 to 776 of the family's 1533-position model. The record is from RNAcentral.
UACGAGGGGGGCGAGCGUUGUUCGGAAUUAUUGGGCGUAAAGGGUGCGUAGGCGGUUUGGUAAGUCUGAUGUGAAAUCUAUGGGCUCAACUCAUAGUCUGCAUCGGAAACUGCCGGGCUUGAGUGUGGGAGAGGUGAGUGGAAUUCCUGGUGUAGCGGUGGAAUGCGUAGAUAUCAGGAAGAACACCCGUGGCUAAGGCGGCUCUCUAGUACGGUACUGACGCUGAGACGCGAAAGCGUGGGGAGCGAACAGG